AAUGUCCUGGCCGUCCCAUGUUGCGAUCAGGUCGCUCAUUUUUGUGACAUCCCGGUCUUUAAACGAAGAUCCGGCCU
This 77-nucleotide transfer RNA is filed under the name Bacillus subtilis subsp. subtilis str. BSP1. RNAcentral's name for it is "tRNA-Arg". Lineage: Bacteria; Bacillati; Bacillota; Bacilli; Caryophanales; Bacillaceae. The record is from RNAcentral.